RNAcentral lists this long non-coding RNA (2037 nucleotides) under Carassius auratus (goldfish). RNAcentral describes it as "lncRNA (ENSCARG00000019658.1)". Lineage: Eukaryota; Metazoa; Chordata; Actinopteri; Cypriniformes; Cyprinidae. The record is from RNAcentral.
AUGACUCUCUCUGAAAAGGUUAUUCAAAUGGGCCUAGAAUCAGACUGCACACCUCAAACCUUACAUGAUCAAUAAUGACAGGCAGAAACAACCUGACCCUGGUCCUGUGUGAAAGAGGAAAUCCAUUCAAACCAAAAGUUAAUCAAGAGGAAGUGUUCAGGUUCUGAAUAUGAGUGCGUGGGUCUUUAGAAACCAGCUUGCAUGUGAGGAAGAGCGCACGGGAGAUCAUAGGUAUAUUUACACUUUACCACUUACUUAAAGCUCCGACAUUUCCAAAAGUCAAAAACUGGAAUAGACCAGGCAUAAUAGGAUCAUUAUACAAAAUGAAAUUCUUCUGUGCUCUCUGGCUUUGGAUGUUUCUGUCAGAAUUUAAUUCAUCUACUGGCGAAAUUUCUAGACAAGGACACAGUGAAGGAAGCAUAACAAUCAUAUGUUCCCACGGCUGGGCUUCAACCAAUAUAAAGUAUUUCUGCAGAGAUCCAUGUGAAGACAAAGAUAUUUUAGUGAAAUCUGGCCAGUCACCUGCAGGAAGAUACAGACUGAAGGAUUCAGGAAACACCUUCACUGUGAACAUCACUGAUCUACAGGAGUCAGACUCUGGGAUUUACUGGUGUGGAGUGGAGAGAUUUGGUUUAGACUCAUUUACGAAAGUCAAACUGACAGUAUCUAAAAGUUUUGUCAAAGCAUCUGGUCCAGCUGGUGAAAAAGCAGGUGCUGAACACAGCAACUCAUCCUCACCUGCAGAUAUAUUCCCAGUGCCUUUACACUAUAUUCUUUACGCUGCUGCUGGUUUGGCCAUCAUGGUGAUCAUAUGUGCAAUUGGACUAAUGACUGUUUGUCUGUGCAGAACAAGAGUCAAGAAAUCAAGAUGCGUUAUUGCAAGAUCUAUUUACAAUCCCCAUCACAGCGAGGAGGAUAAUGCUGUUUAUCAGAACGCUCCUGAUGACAAACAAUAUGCCACCAUUAAUAAAUCCAGGACCAAGAAUAAGGACAAGAGCCAGUCGGACCCAAUCUAUCAGAACUUACACUUCAACACUACACAAGAUGAAACUAUCUAUGGCAAUCUAUAGGAAAUAUACAGUCUACUAUCCUCAAUUGCAAAUACAUGUUCUGUAUGACAAACAUUGAACAAGUCUGUCUGGACCAUUUUUCCGGACAUCAACACCAUUUCUGAAUAGUAUAUGGCAAAAAUCAAAUGUACAGAACAAGAUUCAAAAACAUGGCACUUGGUGAUAUAAUCACACCAUUAUUUGUGUAAAUAAAUAUCCAGUUUGCAUGUAAAGUUUGCUUGUGAAACAACAAUAAAGGGUUGAAAUACUAAUGGGUUGUUUCAUAUUAAAUGGACAAAUGUGUGUAGGGCUAUUCAAUUAUUUUGCAAAUACAACUAACUGUUCCUUUAAUGAAUCCUUAGCCUGCAGAUAGUGUAAAAACUGAAUAUGAGUAUGUGAAAACACUGAAAUGUGAACCUAGUCUUCAUGAAUCAGACUUACCUGUGCAGACUGUUUUAAGCUCUGUACUCAGGCCACACACCAGUUUGAACAAUCUGUCUUUGUUUUCUCUAAAUCAUCCAGAUAAAGAAUACAUUGAAGUAAUGCACCUGUUUAACCUGUACUUGUAUCUCUUGCACUUACCACAUCAUGAUAAUAAAACUGAUCAACCAGAAAUAUGUUUCUGCCAGAGCUGUUCAAUCUAAAGACUCAUGCACUGAAUUGAAGCAGUUCCUGAGUUUAAAACAAGAAGACUCUAAAUUAGUUUUGUGUGUACAUCAUCCUCUCACCCCAUAUUAGUUGUUAUCCAGAUCUUGAUUGGGUGUAGCACAUUGUUACUCAACAUGACUUCCUGAUACAUCCUUACUAUCUAUAAAGUGAUAUGACCCAAAAUGAUUUGUCGAAGGAGCAAUACUCAUUGAGUAGGGCUUAAGUUAUGGUUAAGUAUUAUUAGCUAGUUACUGUAAUGUAUGCUAGACCAGACUCUUUUCAUCAGGCUUCAUGCAGGUCUCCUCCAUCAUGGCAACAAUAACAGCAGAUUAUAUCAAUC